AUUGAACGCUGGCGGCAGGCCUAACACAUGCAAGUCGAGCGGAUGAAGGGAGCUUGCUCCUGGAUUCAGCGGCGGACGGGUGAGUAAUGCCUAGGAAUCUGCCUGGUAGUGGGGGAUAACGUCCGGAAACGGGCGCUAAUACCGCAUACGUCCUGAGGGAGAAAGUGGGGGAUCUUCGGACCUUACGCUAUCAGAUGAGCCUAGGUCGGAUUAGCUAGUUGGUGGGGUAAAGGCCUACCAAGGCGACGAUCCGUAACUGGUCUGAGAGGAUGAUCAGUCACACUGGAACUGAGACACGGUCCAGACUCCUACGGGAGGCAGCAGUGGGGAAUAUUGGACAAUGGGCGAAAGCCUGAUCCAGCCAUGCCGCGUGUGUGAAGAAGGUCUUCGGAUUGUAAAGCACUUUAAGUUGGGAGGAAGAGCAGUAAGUUAAUACCUUGCUGUUUUGACGUUACCAACAGAAUAAGCACCGGCUAACUUCGUG
This 484-nucleotide ribosomal RNA is filed under the name uncultured bacterium. RNAcentral describes it as "partial 16S ribosomal RNA". It matches the Rfam family "Bacterial small subunit ribosomal RNA", at positions 30 to 507 of the family's 1533-position model. The record is from RNAcentral.